AUCGAGCUGGGGGGUUCCCUGGUCCCUGGCGAUGGGGCGGGGAGCGCGGCGCCAGGGGAGGAGGCGGGCGCGGCAGCGCGGGCCCCGCCGAGAGGGGACACCUGGCUGAGGCACAGCUGCUGCCCGCCGCGCCGCGCCGCUCCGCUCCACGCGAACCCAGGGCUCCGGUCCCUGCGCGGGCUCGAGAGCUCGCCCCGACCGGGGGUCUUCCUCCUCCGCCGUUGACAGGUGAAUAACAACAAAAUGAAGACCAUAUAAAACAAGCCCCCUACUUAGCCCUGCAAUUCUUACCUUUCUUACCUACUUGAUGAAGAUGUCAUUUGAAUGGUGUACUGCAAGGAAUUAAAUGCUGUUUGUAAAUUAUGCUUUUACCCAGGUUUAAGUUGAUGCCAAAUAAUUCCAAUAUUGAGCAUCUUAAAUCUGUUACUUGGAGUAUGGAUUGAGUUUGGAGCUAACUCAGAGGACUACAGGCAAGUAUUCAGGAGGUAGUCAGAGGGAUAAUCGUAAUAGUUGAACAAUUCAGCUUGCAUACUAUAUUCAACUUCAAGUCUCUUAAGAUCACAUAUAUGUGAAAGUAGAAUUGACAGUUUGAUCAUAGACUAAAUGCCAUAUUUAACAGUAAAGAUUUUCUUCAAUCAAUUAUGUAACCUUUUAAUUGUUAUAGAAUUAGAGGUGUUUUUAAGCCACCAGGUAUCAUUACUGAUAUAUGUUCAGGUUAGCCAUAACUGGAUUAGCAAGAUUAUACUUUAAUAAACUAUGAUUUCUAAGUUAAUGUAUUUAUUUAUUUAGAAGUUGACAUUCUAAAUCAUUUUUUUUUUCCUUUUGCAGGUGGAUAUUACUAUCCCUUAUUCAUGGAAAAAGUUAUAUUCUAAGUGUUGUUUCUCAUUGAGUAUUAGCAAAAAGGAGAAAAAUUAAUGUCCUAAACUUUUGAGAUAGAUUUGGCUCUAGAGCAUUAAAAAUAGAUUUGAAGCAUUUAUAUAGAGAGGACUACAAAUUUAUUUAUUCUACUAUAUUGGCACUGAGGAUCAGCACUGAACAAAACAGAAACUGGAAAGAACAUCACCCUCUGGAAAAGAGAUAUGAGAUAUGCUCCUGGCUCAAAAGGUUUUUCUUUACAUUUAUCUACAAUACAGUUGAUCCCCAAACAACAUGGGUUUGACCUGUGAGAGUCCACUUAAUUUUUUUCAAUAAAUACGUACUACAAUACUACACCAUCUGAGGAUGAGGAACCGCGGGUACAGAGGCAAACUCUAAAGUUACACGUGGAUUUUCAGCUGCAAGGCACUUAUUUUGACAUCACCACUGCCCCCACCAAAAAAAAAAAAAAAUGUGAGAACUGACUAUAUCAUGGGUACCUAGACCAUGUGGAGAAAGGACUGAGACUGGAAGCAGAAAACUCAUUGUCCGUACAGAGCAAAGUGCCAGACAACAGCUCACUCUAGUAAAGGGCGAUAAAUGCCACAUGAGAUGGUCUCCUCAGUUCAAAACUAGUGUCAUAUCUCAAGCUUGUGCCUAUAGGAAAACCCUACACUGGUAUCAGUUAUGAAGUUGCAACUGACUCAUGUGCCUGGUCUGAUGACUUCGACUAUCUUUUCAUGACUCCUAAAUUAUGGAGGCCACGCCAUGCGACUUCUGGGAUGUUAGUUCCCCAACCAAGGAUUGAACCCAUGCCCUCAGCAGUGAAAGCGUGGAGUCCUAACUACUGCACCACCAGGGAAUUCCCAACAAUUUCCCAAGUUUUAUACCAACAAAGAAAGUAGCCAAAUAUAUACCUAGUUACCUACCGCCUCUCUGGUUUUCCACUUCAUUUUCCUACCAUAUUUAUACUUUAAAAUAUACUUUUUAAUUUAUGUAGAAUAAAACUCACUCCUUUCAGUACGCCGUUCUAUGAGUUUUGACAAAGGCACAGUUGUAUAACACCACCACAGAUUUAUUUUUAAGCAAACAUUCAAGAUAUCCACACUUAAGGAAGACUAUGAAAACUGAUCAAUACAACCUUGAGUAGGUAUAUAGCAACAACAGUCUCUGCAAAUGAAAACAGUAACACAACAACCAGAAUAUUAAAAAUGGAAAAGCCAACACUUAUAAAGGAGUCAUAAAAUAGAAGUAAAAGCUAAUAUAUAUGACUUCUCCCUCCUGGAAGCCCUUUUGUUUUUAUAUGAUCAACCCAAAAUGAUUACAAUUGAACAGGUGCUCAUUUUAUUCACUCUUAAAAGGUAAUUUUAAUAAAACCUUUUGGGCUCCCCUGGUGGUGCAGUGGUUAAGUAAUCCACCUGCCAAUGCAGAGGACACGGGUUUGAGCCCUGGUCCGGGAAGAUCCCACAUGCUGCGGAGCAACUAAGCCCGUGCGCCACAACUACUGAAGCCCACGCACCUAGAGCCCAUGCUCUGCAAUAAGAAGCCACCGCAACGAGAAGCCCGCGCACCGCAACAAAGAGUAGCUCCUGCCCGCCGCAACUAGAGAAAGCCUGGGUGCAACAAUGAAGACCCAACGCAGCCAAAAGCGAUCCCGAGGCGCUGGAAGUGAACCCAGGCGUGUUGGGUAGCGGACCAGGUUUUCAGCAGCCCGGACGCGCUGCCCCCGCCGCCCACCCGCACGCCGUUGCUCCCCAUCCCCCCGUUCCGGGGCCUGGCUGCUUUCCGCUGUGCUGCCGGGACUGGAGCGCCGACUGAGCUCUCCGCCAGCCCCCCCGACUCACGCAGGUGCCUGCCCGGCCAGGGCAAGUCCCCACCCCCCUUCCCCGUAAGGACCCGGGCGGCGGGUACUUAUCUCGGACCUCCGGGGCCGCUGGAGGGUACCCGCCGGGAGGCGCGCCGCGGCCAGUCCUCCAGCCGCGGGCACCGCGCGCUAAGAGUCGGAACGGCUGCAAAAUGGAUUCGCGGCGCCGACGGGCCCCGCCCCAAGGCCCUCCUCCGCCGGCACCUCGGUCCGCCUCCGAGGCUAGGCCUCGCCUUUCCCCCGGGGAGGGAGUGGGUGAGGGGAGGCGGAGUCCUUCCGGUAUCUCCAACCGCCACCGAUGACCGCUGCCGGCCGCGGUGCGCCUGGGAGAGGGGAGGGUUGCUGGCUGCUGGCUUCUCUCCUUUCCAGAGGGGCUGCGCGCGCCCGCGAAGCGCCGUUCCCCGGGCGCCGGGAAGGGGACGUGGAUCGCGCAGACCCGCGGGGUCGGCCUGGACCGAGCGCGGGCGACGGGAGGCGGCGUUGUCCCCGGUGGAGCCGCCUGGGAAGAAAGCCGGCGCGCAACAAGAUGGUUGGGUUUGGAUUGUUGUACUUUUUUUUUUGUUCGUUGCAUUUUUAGGAACAAAAAAAAAAGCCCAACCCUUCACACCGCUUCAUCUGCAUCUCUCAGGACCAGAGGCCCGGCCACAGCGGCUUGGGGGGACGGAGACGACUGUCCGCCCCGCACCCCACAACCCGGGGUGGGUGGGGCGGGCGCCCGCGCUGCUCCAGACGCAGCACAAUCAAAAUAGUUAAUUACUGCACCCACCCACACCUUGCAUCUAUGUAUUUCUUUGCACGCUUUAGGCCGAACACUAGCCACCCAAUUCAAGGUUUCUUUUUAGGAAAAACACCACUGCCCUUUUCUUUGGAGAGAAGGAAAAACUCAAGUAUGGCUCUAAAUUAUCAGCCGCUAGCCUGACUCUCUCUUCUGAUGUCCGGCACCCUGUAUAGGGACCUUCUCUAAUUAGCAAACGCAUUAAGCACUUACCAAGGAGCGGUUGCAAGAAGAUUGCAAUGAUGAAAGAAUGGCUUCUCCAAAACUUGCCAUCUUGGGGGAUGUGAAGCAUGGACAAAAAUCACAGAAUAUGCCCUGGGGUUGAGUUCGCCCCCCACCCCCGCCCCACUUGGGGAAGUCUGGGAUUUGGAAGUAGAAUUGGGGGGAAAGGUAUUCAAGGUCUAUUUACAGUACUUGGACCCGGUGACUACUAAUACUAGCUCAAACCCCAUAAAAAGCUCCUCCCCACUCCCUUCUGAGAUGUCCAGUUCCUCACCAUGCCCAGGGUCCCUUAAAUCCAGUUUUGUGUGUGUCUCCCUUAAACCCAAUUUUGCCUUUGAAGAACAGUUCCUAUAUUUAUGUCAUUUUGCCUUCAUAAGAACACUGUGGAAUGGAAAUUAUGAUCUUCAUCCUAUAGAUGAGGAAACGGAUGAAGUGAUUUCUCCAAGGCAAAAAACAAGAGGCAGCGCUGAGACUCUAAAGUCAGGUUCCAGGUACACGGUCUUUCUACAGCACGGUAACUGUCAGUGCCAACGAAAACUGCAGCCCAGUCUCCUACUAAAUAAGUGUUAUUAAAAGAAAAUCAAACUCCUGAUUUGUAGAAACAUUUUGAAUACCCUAAUAUUAAAAUGAUACAAGAGUGAAAGGUUAUUAACUCAUAAAUCAGAAAUUGUCCUAUGUGUACCUGGUUGUUGGUAGAUACUAAUUAAUUAACUUAUAACCAACUAAAUGUAAAACGUUGGUUAAAUCUGCAUAGAAAUCCCUAGAUUGUUAACAAAAAAAUAAACUACUAAGAGACCAUCGUAUAUUAAACUCUCUUACGUGUAGAAAAAUAGGGAAGGAAGAAUAACCUAUUUUCCCUCCCAUGGUCCUAAUAAAACAGCCAAUCAGGGAAUCACCACAUAUAGUGUGACUAGAAAAAGAGAUUAAAACCUGCAUGCAUGGGGCUUCCCUGGUGGUGCAGUGGUUAAGAAUCCGCCUGCCAGUGCAGGAGACACGGGUUCAAGCCCUGGUCCAGGAAGAUCCCACAAGCCGCAGAGCAGCUAAGCCCGUGCACCACAACUACUGAGCCCGUGUGCCACGACUACUGAAGCCUGCACGCCUAGAGCCCGAGCUCCGCAACAAGAGAAGCCGCGGCAAUGAGAAUCCAGCACACUGCAACGAAGUGUAGCCCCUGCUUGCCGCAACCAGAGAAAAGCCUGCACGCAGCAACAAAGACCCAACGCAACCAAAAAUAAAAUAAAUUAAAAAAUUUUAAAAACCUACAUACAUGGAUUAAAACCCACCCACACAGCUACCUCCUUCCUGGAAGAGCACACUAUAACUAGAUCCCAUACCGAGGGACUGUCAAAAUUCUUAUCACACUGGAAUUUCCUUUUAUUGACUGUUCUUCAAAUAAGCAGACUAAGCUUAAGACUGGAAUUCAUAUGUCACCACAGCAGUAAGAUGUAGUCUUAUGUAAGUUUGUCUUUUGUGAAAAACAUAUUUUUACAGGUAGAAUUUCUAAUGUUAUAUAUUUGAAAUAUAUAUAUACACACAUAUACUUAUUUUUGUGAUUUAUUUCAUGGUGUUGUUUUUGUCCUCAGCCUUGACAAAGGUGAAAUCCUCCAGCUUUCCUUCCAUCUACCAAGACGUGAUCAGAUGUUCCAUAACAAAAGGGACAGUGCCAAAUUUGGUGUACACUGAAAUGUAAAUUAUCAGAAUGGGGAACGUCUAAUAAUUAAGACUGGAGCAGUUAUGUGCAGGAGAGGGGUGCUGGUGAGCCUCCUUAGAUAUACUGGAACAUUUCAUUACUAUUCUGUCCUUCCCUUCCCAAUAGCUGCCAGUCAUGAAUGCAAGCCCCGACAUUCCCCAAUGAGAAUUCCUGGCAAUACAAGGCACUGACAUUGCAAGGUGCAGCAAAAAGAGCAGACACUUUGGAAUCAAUUCUGCAUCCAAACUCUAGCUCUGCCAUAUACAAGUUGUUCAAGUUACUAAGCAUCUCUAAGCCUCAGUUUUCUCUUCUGUAAAAUGGGGAUAAUGUUUCACUUGAUUGUGAAAAUCAGAUAACAUACAAAGCAACCAACAUGGUAUCUGACAUAUAGGAGGUACUUAAUAAAUGGUUGCUACUGCUAUAUGGGAGAAGAAAACCAUGCUGGUUUUGAAUAACGGUUGUUUUGGAUUUGUAAUGUGAGGCUCAAGCACAAUAGUCUUAAGCAGAGCUAAACUACCUACGUAGUAGAGGAAGCUAGCACCAUAAUUUCUGCUUUUUUUACACCCAGCCCAGGGUGGCCUUUUAUUUUAUUUUAUAUAUUGAUUUAUGUAUUAAUUUAUUUUUGGCUGCGUUGUGUCUUCAUUGCUGCGUGCAUGCUUUCUCUAGUUGCUGAGAGUGGGGGCUACUCUUUGUUACAUCGCGGUGGCUUCUCUUGUUGAGGAGCAUGGGCUCCAGGCACACGGGCUUCAGUAGUUGUGGCGCGCAGGCUCAGUAGUCGUGGCGCACGGGCUUAGUUCCUCCGCAUCCUGGACCAGGGCUUGAACCCGUGUCCCCUGCAUUGGCAGGCAGAUUCUUAACCACUGCACCACCAGGGAAGUCCCCAGGGUGGCCUUUUAAAAGCAUUUAUCUUUCCACUGCUGUACCUCCUUCCUUGUGCUUAGGGAAAGGAGAGGAAAAGGAAAAAACAUCUCACUUAAUGAAAGGAAGACUCUGCAGUGCUUUUUAAAGCUUUACAAUUUCAGUGAAAUUGUUGGAACAUCCAAAACAUUCCAUUAAAAGGAAAAGAAUCUACCUGUAAAAAUACAUUUAUCACAAAAGACAGAAACUUACCUAAGACUUGAUGAAAUUAAAGGAAUUAGUCCUUGGUUUGAAGAAAAUUACAGGUUGCAUAUAUUUCAGUUGCACAGUGAAGAUCGUGCAUUAGAUGGAGCAAACAGCAAUAUCAGUUAGCUUUGGGAGAGAAUGAGAGAUGCUUAAGCAACAGUAAACUUGGCCUUUAGUUGUGCCGUUUGUUUAGAUGGAAAAAUAAGUUAUAAGAAUAAAAUGUCAGAGGUAAUUAAGAUGAUAUUAACAUAUGCUUAUAAUUAUAUACUCAGGAUUGUGCUAGGCACCAAUGACACUAACUGAGGAAUUUCCCAUUUGGUUGAAGAGAAAAGUCUUAACAGCAUGAACUAGUUCAGUAAUAGUGGCUGUUUAAGAGUCAAUGUGAGGGGUGUGGUGAAGAAAAGAUCAGAGGAAGGCAUGGAAGCAUCACGAAGAUUUCACAGGGGAGGUGGGAGUCAAACAGAAUUAAAGAUCAUAGGAUUUGAAGGUAAGAGGAAGAGCAUUGGAGGUGAGGAACACAAGUUCAGGGUGGGAAUUAGCUUCACUGAUACUGAUACUGAGUCAGGGAAGAGCAUGGCCUAGUUUGGAAAAAAAGUUUGAGGCCAAAUUGUGGAAUGUUUUGAUGUCAGAAUAAAGAGUUGAACUUCAUUCUGUAGGAAAUGGGAAGCCACUGAAUAAUUACGUAUAUGGCACUAACAAGAUGAAAACAGAAUUUUGGGAAGACUAAUCUGAUAACAGGGUCCAAGAUUUAAGGGGGAAGAAAUUUCCUUUAUUUUAAUAGUUUUGAGGUUAUUGAAAAUUAUAGAUUUUUUUAAUGCAGUAAUGUAUAUAAAAGUACAACAUAUGUGCCUAGGUCAAAUUCCAUUGAACCAUUUAAUUUCAAGUGUAUUGUUUACUAAAAUUUUCAAUUUGUAAAUAAAAUGUAAUGAAUGUAGAAAGAAUUAACAAUGACAAAUACUCCUAAAGUCCUAUGAGAGGAAAUUAUGUGUAUAUAUAUAUAUAUAUAUAUCAAUCCUAUAUAAAUUAUCUUAAUAUAAUGAUCUUAACUAUAUUGUAUGACUAAAGUUAGUAUGUUGCUUAAAUAUUAACUACAUUUUAGAGUAUGCCUCACUAGAGCUUUAAAAAUCAUUACAUAUACUCUGAAAUGUAGUGCUCUGUUUUGAUAUUUUUAACAAUGAUUACACUCAAUUAUGUUAAUAAUUUUUUCUCUAAACUUAAUUUCCAUACAUGUAGAAUUUUAUUCUUGAUGAAAGUCACUUUAUGAGGGCCUUAAGAAAUGAUUCAUUCAGGUAAAGACUACUGUUGUAUAAAUAUUUGCAGUUGUUUAAGAGAACUUGAUUUGUAGAAACUGUUUAUUUUGGAAUCUUUGUGUAGCAUUCACUAAUCAUUAUGUGCUCUAGUUUUAUCUUGAAAAAUGUCAGUUAUAAUAAUAAAUUUUAUAAUUUCAAUUUAGAAAACUACUCUCACCCUGCUCUAUGAGACAUUUUUAGAACAUUUCUUCUACAAAUAAAGGUACAACAGUUUUCUAUUAUAGUUUUCAAUAGCUAGUAGAUUCCUGUACUUUCUUUAUCUUAAGUAAAGGCAGUAGUAUAUCUCAUAGAACUUUGGUUCUGAAGGUCUAAAUUUAUCAGAUACCUACCUAUACAGCAUUGCACAAGAAAUCCAUGCUUCUGUUUUUUAACAUGAGUCCAGUUGAGUCUCUCUGAUAUCAAAGCAUGUGGUAAUAAAUGCCUUGUCAAAAA
Non-coding RNA from Globicephala melas (long-finned pilot whale), 8252 nucleotides. The record is from RefSeq and is a predicted model, not a curated record. NCBI's taxonomy places the organism in Eukaryota, Metazoa, Chordata, Mammalia, Artiodactyla, Delphinidae.